RNAcentral lists this ribosomal RNA (392 nucleotides) under uncultured bacterium. Its description in RNAcentral is "partial 16S ribosomal RNA". It matches the Rfam family "Bacterial small subunit ribosomal RNA", at positions 523 to 918 of the family's 1533-position model. The record is from RNAcentral.
AUACGGAGGAUCCGAGCGUUAUCCGGAUUUAUUGGGUUUAAAGGGUGCGCAGGCGGCCAUUUAAGUCAGCGGUUAAAUCGUGGGGCUCAACCCCAUUCUGCCGUUGAUACUGGGUGGCUUGAUUGCGGUCGAGGUUGGCGGAAUUCGUUGUGUAGCGGUGAAAUGCAUAGAUAUGACGAAGAACACCGAUUGCGUAGGCAGCUGGCCAGACCGCAAAUGACGCUCAUGCACGAAAGUGCGGGGAUCGAACAGGAUUAGAUACCCUGGUAGUCCGCACAGUAAACGAUGAAUACUUGUUUUCGGCGAUAUAAUGUCGGAGGCAAAGCGAAAGCGAUAAGUAUUCCACCUGGGGAGUACGCCGGCAACGGUGAGACUCAAAUGAAUUGACGGGG